UCUCUCCUCUCUCUCUCCUUCCGCGCGACUUGGCCGUGCGACCCUUCGCCUUCUCGGCGACGGCCCGGCCACCACAGGCCGAGCUGAUCUCCUCCGUGGGUACCAUCGGGUCCACCUCCCUCUCGCCGUCAAAACCUGACCGACCUCCACCCUUGGGCCGCCCUGAGCUGAUCGGAAAACCAUGUUUUCCGACGGAGCUUCGUCCGAGUCCACCCGAUUUUCCAGCUCGAAUUUCUCCUUCGUUUCUCACCAAAUCGAUCGAGUAAGGCACAAGAGGUCCAAGCGACCCGCAGGAGGGACCUUCAAAGGGUCUAGUUAGCUCGGACCAUCAAGUUUGAGAACUUUACCAGAGGAGAUAGCAGCAAAGCUUCAGAUUUACCGAGAUGCAGUGAGUUAUUAGAUUUUUCUUAAAAUAGUUUAUUUUAAAACCACCGUGUACCCAUUUAUCUUUGGUGAUUACCCACAGUCGGACCGAUGUCUAUGGACAUCCAGUCUGAUUUCAGUUACGUCAGUGCACUUGACUUUGCCUCACGAGUUUCGGGGACGCUCGGACCGUGAGUGCCAGGAUUUGCGGCUCG
Molecule: long non-coding RNA, 578 nt
Organism: Prunus persica (peach)
Lineage: Eukaryota; Viridiplantae; Streptophyta; Magnoliopsida; Rosales; Rosaceae
Exons: 3
Source: RefSeq, a predicted model, not a curated record